Molecule: long non-coding RNA, 684 nt
Organism: Ictalurus punctatus (channel catfish)
Lineage: Eukaryota; Metazoa; Chordata; Actinopteri; Siluriformes; Ictaluridae
Source: Ensembl
GACCAAAGAUAAUCUGGUCAUUGCAUAUUAUAUAAAUACAUCGUAUAAAUUCCCCCAUAUAAGCACUUCAGACAGAGAGGAGUCGCACUUAAGCUCAGUAGAAGCAGAAACAGUGGAAACAGGUUGUGGCAUCUGUCUGGCUGGAAUAAAAACGCACAACCCCUCUGGCCCUUUGUAGAUAAGAUUGAAGACUUAAUCCAUGUGACCUUUGAUGAUAUAAUUAUCAGUUUCCUCGCGGGGAAGGAAAGGAUGACGGGGAUCUUUCUUUCCAUCUUCAUUAUUCAACACACCAGCUCAUCAGGACGCAACUCUGGAGAGAAACAGUUUACCUAUGGGACAGAGAUAUCUUCUUCAGCUUCACAGUGGAGACGUUAUACAACAUGUCUAACUGUAAAGAAGAUGCUCUUUUUACUCGUGUUCAACUAUUUAUAAUCUGUUACUGUAUGUUGUAUUUAUUGUCAUUUAUUUACUUUGCUUUUUGUUUUGUUUUUUGUACAUUGAAGUGAAAUGUCUUCCCAUUUUUAAUUUAUAUUUGUCUUCUAUAACAAAUUUAGAAGACCAAAAAAAAAAAAAAAAGAAACGUCCUUUGACUUUUUGGUUUCUUUUAUUAUUUAUGUGUAAUUUAGUACAUUUCACUACUAUACAUACAACUUCAUGAGCAAAAGAAUAAAACUCAGACACACA